Molecule: ribosomal RNA, 438 nt
Filed under: uncultured bacterium
Lineage: Bacteria
Description: bacterial SSU rRNA
Rfam family: Bacterial small subunit ribosomal RNA
Source: RNAcentral
GCAGAACGCGAAGAACCUUACCUACUCUUGACAUCCACGGAACUUUUCAGAGAUGAAUUGGUGCCUUCGGGAACCGUGAGACAGGUGCUGCAUGGCUGUCGUCAGCUCGUGUUGUGAAAUGUUGGGUUAAGUCCCGCAACGAGCGCAACCCUUAUCCUUUGUUGCCAGCGGUUAGGCCGGGAACUCAAAGGGGACUGCCAGUGAUAAACUGGAGGAAGGUGGGGAUGACGUCAAGUCAUCAUGGCCCUUACGAGUAGGGCUACACACGUGCUACAAUGGCGCAUAUAAAGAGAAGCGACCUCGCGAGAGCAAGCGGACCUCAUAAAGUGCGUCGUAGUCCGGAUUGGAGUCUGCAACUCGACUCCAUGAAGUCGGAAUCGCUAGUAAUCGUAGAUCAGAAUGCUACGGUGAAUACGUUCCCGGGUCUUGUACACACCG